CACACUCCAAGGGCCCUCACCUCCUCCCUGUAGGCCGUCUCGUCGUUGUUGGUAAUCAAGCCUACCUCUGUAGUGUCGUCUGCAAACUUGAUGAUUGAGUUGGAGGACAGAGCAGACCAUCCUGCAUUGACAACUACAUUGGCAUUCUACAUGACUCAUUUGACCUGCAGUAUGACGUGUGUGGGCUGCGGAUGAGGGAGUUAACCCUGGGUUUGAGGCCCAGAAAGGGGUGUCGACACCUGUGUGCACACCUGCAAAUGUUUUAUGAUUAGACCCUGAUGCCUCAUACUGUGUUUCAGUCCAAGCACAGUAUGACAAUCAAAAUACCAUUGAUGUGUACUGGCUGUUCGAUGAUGGAGUCAUGGUCCUCAUCGCCAAGUUCUGCCUUGGUUUCCAUGACGUCAAAGUGCUGCCUGAUAUCAAUGGACGACCACAACAUGAACAG
This is a long non-coding RNA of Oncorhynchus gorbuscha (pink salmon), 445 nucleotides long. RefSeq lists it as uncharacterized. The transcript has 4 exons. NCBI's taxonomy places the organism in Eukaryota, Metazoa, Chordata, Actinopteri, Salmoniformes, Salmonidae. The record is from RefSeq and is a predicted model, not a curated record.